This 966-nucleotide ribosomal RNA is filed under the name Cliona celata. Its description in RNAcentral is "SSU rRNA". It matches the Rfam family "Eukaryotic small subunit ribosomal RNA", at positions 30 to 1000 of the family's 1831-position model. Lineage: Eukaryota; Metazoa; Porifera; Demospongiae; Clionaida; Clionaidae. The record is from RNAcentral.
GCUUGUCUCAAGACUAAGCCAUGCAUGUCUAAGUAUAAACGCUUCUAUACUGUGAAACUGCGAAUGGCUCAUUAAAUCAGUUAUAGUUUAUUUGAUGGUUCCUACUACAUGGAUAACCGUGGUAAUUCUAGAGCUAAUACAUGCAGAAAGUCCCGACUUCUGGAAGGGAUGUAUUUAUUAGAUCCAAAACCGGCGCGGGUCUUCGGGCCCGGUUGCUUGGUGAUUCAUGAUAACUGCUCGAACCGUAUGGCCUUUGUGCCGACGGUGCUUCAUUCAAAUUUCUGCCCUAUCAACUUUCGAUGGUACGGUAGUGGCCUACCAUGGUUGCAACGGGUGACGGAGAAUUAGGGUUCGAUUCCGGAGAGGGAGCCUGAGAAACGGCUACCACAUCCAAGGAAGGCAGCAGGCGCGCAAAUUACCCAAUCCCGACUCGGGGAGGUAGUGACAAUAAAUAACAAUGCCGGGCUUUCUUAGUCUGGCAAUUGGAAUGAGUACAAUCUAAACCCCUUAACGAGGAACAAUUGGAGGGCAAGUCUGGUGCCAGCAGCCGCGGUAAUUCCAGCUCCAAUAGCGUAUAUUAAAGUUGUUGCAGUUAAAAAGCUCGUAGUUGGAUUUCGGGGCAGCCUGGCUGGUCCGCCGCAAGGCGAGUACUGGUCAGCCGCCCUUCCUCUCGAAAGCCCCGACUGCUCUUUAUUGUAGUGGUCGGGUAGUUCGGGACGUUUACUUUGAAAAAAUUAGAGUGUUCAAGGCAGGCCUACGCCUGAAUACAUUAGCAUGGAAUAAUGGAAGAGGACCUCGGUCCUAUUUUGUUGGUUUCCAGGGCCGAAGUAAUGAUUAAGAGGGACAGUUGGGGGCAUUCGUAUUUAAUUGUCAGAGGUGAAAUUCUCGGAUUUAUGAAAGACGAACAACUGCGAAAGCAUUUGCCAAGGAUGUUUUCAUUAAUCAAGAACGAAAGUUAGGGGUUCG